UGGGGAAUAUUGGACAAUGGGCGCAAGCCUGAUCCAGCCAUGCCGCGUGUGUGAAGAAGGCCUUCGGGUUGUAAAGCACUUUCAGCGAUGAAGCGGUAGUCGGAGAAGAAGCCCCGGCUAACUUCGUGCCAGCAGCCGCGGUAAUACGAAGGGGGCUAGCGUUGUUCGGAAUUACUGGGCGUAAAGCGCACGUAGGCGGAUUGUUAAGUGAGGGGUGAAAUCCCAGGGCUCAACCCUGGAACUGCCUCUCAUACUGGCAAUCUCGAGUCCGGAAGAGGUGAGUGGAAUUCCGAGUGUAGAGGUGAAAUUCGUAGAUAUUCGGAGGAACACCAGUGGCGAAGGCGGCUCACUGGUCCGGUACUGACGCUGAGGUGCGAAAGCGUGGGGAGC
RNAcentral lists this ribosomal RNA (390 nucleotides) under uncultured bacterium. RNAcentral's name for it is "bacterial SSU rRNA". It matches the Rfam family "Bacterial small subunit ribosomal RNA", at positions 355 to 769 of the family's 1533-position model. The record is from RNAcentral.